GUCUUCAUACUACCUGCUUCCUUCGAGACUCGACACCCAAGUUUCUUUGCUUCCUGCACGGACAUCUAAAGUUGUGCGAGGCACCCAUAUCCACCAGACAACUGGUUGUCUUGUCAUUCACCAUGGCGUCGACGAACAUCACUCAUUUAGCUUGAACCUGUGGUUGAGCGACUUUGGCCUGCACAACAUUGAAGCGGCAAAUGGCCCCUACUCCUGCUUCCC
This 222-nucleotide long non-coding RNA is filed under the name Prunus persica (peach). Its description in RNAcentral is "long non-coding RNA (PPER_LNC006885)". Lineage: Eukaryota; Viridiplantae; Streptophyta; Magnoliopsida; Rosales; Rosaceae. The record is from RNAcentral.